Dendrobium catenatum is the source of this 1598-nucleotide RNA transcript. RefSeq lists it as uncharacterized. Lineage: Eukaryota; Viridiplantae; Streptophyta; Magnoliopsida; Asparagales; Orchidaceae. The transcript has 5 exons. The record is from RefSeq and is a predicted model, not a curated record.
CAACCGCUAAAGACGAAAGCUUGGUGAGAAUAUUCUCUUUCCACGAUCCUUCCCAUGCUUCCCUCCAUAUUCUUCCUUAAUGGAUGAUAAGAAGAAACAGCACCAACACAAGAAAAAAUGGUUCUCCUCUGUUCAAACAAAACCCUAAUAGCCUCCAAUCCUUUCUCAUCGUACCUCCAACCGAAGCCAAGAUUCUUAAUCCCCUUUUCUUCCUCUCCUCUCUGCUCCUGCGGAAGUCCCAAUUUCCUGAAAGUUCUCACCCUUUCGGCUUCCUCUCUCCCCUCCGCCUCGGCCACUUCAGCUCAGAGCCUCCACCUUCAGCACGACGAACCAACCCCGGCAUCUCUCAUAUGUGCAGACUGGGGAGAUUUCGCUGCGAGAGUUUCCGGCGAGUGGGAUGGCUGCGGCGCCGAGUUCAGCGCUGAAGGGAAGCCGGUAGAACUGCCUGAGUCCGUUGUGCCCGGGGCUUUUCGAGAGUGGGAUGUGCAAGUAUUUGAUUGGCAAACUCAAUGCCCUACCCUGGCUUCUGAGACGAGGGAACCGCUGUUCUUCUAUAAGCUAAUUAAGCUUCUCCCAACUGUGGGUUGCGAGGCCGACGCUGCCACGAGGCACAGUGUCAGUGAGAGGGUCGCAGGAGGUUCGGAGAACAAUGUCUUGGCUUUCGGAUAUCAUCCUAAUGGUAGAUAUAUUUGUGUUGGGCUGGUGAAUGGAUUUGAGGGGAAGAGGACGUUGGAAUUGGAGCAUUGUUUUGUGAGUCCUAAGAACCGGGAGGAAAGACUGAGAGUGAUUCAAGUGGUUAGGUUAGAGGAAGGACUGGUGAGUUUGGAGAAGAUUUGGGUUUUUUCGGAACAUUGGUAUGGCCCAUUCAGGAAUGGAGAGCAGCUUGGUGGAUGUGCCAUUAAGGAAACUGGGUUUGCAUUGGCAAAGGCAGUUGAAGUUUCCGAGAUUUUGGGGGAAUGGAAAGGAAGUGAAAGAUUUGCAGUAACUGAAUUAGAGUGUGAGCAGAAGGAUCCAAUCCAUCAACUCGUGAAGGUUCGUUCACAAAACUCCAGUAGAGGCCAGCAAUGUCUUAUUGCACUCCCAAAGGGUCUCUGGUGUUCUCUUGAAGUAAAGGAGGAUGGUGAAACAUGUGCCGAAGUUGGAUGGCUGGUGGAUUGUGGGAAUGCCUUGACUUCAAGAUGUGCUUUUCACAAAAAUGGGGGAUUAAAGGAUGGCAGCAGUGAUGAUAAACUCUUUCCAAUGAUGCAUCAAAUGGUGAGUUUCCUUUGAGCAAUGAUGAACUUCUCGCGACAAAGUAGUGACAUGGCGAAUGGCAAUCCUCCCUUCAAUAAUGAUGGAAAUGAUAAUGGAAGAGGAAGCCAAAGUGUUGGACGGCAAAGUAUGGUAGUUUCUAAGCUAAUUUUCUUAUAAUAUGUUAAAUAUCAAAUUACUUUUUGCCCAAUUACAAAGAUCAGGUUCUUGAAUUUGAAUCUGUCAGUUCUAAUAAGUUUCAUCUUGUACCUGUUUAAAUGAUAAAAUGAUAGUGAUGCCCUAGUUUUGCCUUGAGAACAAAACCUUUAUUCCUCUUGGCUAUUGAAAUAUUUUACUCUUUCAUUUUU